Long non-coding RNA from Acipenser ruthenus (sterlet), 1652 nucleotides. RefSeq lists it as uncharacterized. Lineage: Eukaryota; Metazoa; Chordata; Actinopteri; Acipenseriformes; Acipenseridae. The transcript has 10 exons. The record is from RefSeq and is a predicted model, not a curated record.
AAAAAAAAAAAACACAGUUCCAGUAUACAAGUCUGAUAUUGUGGAUUCAACAUGUGCAGAUCAUCCCCAAAAACUUUCAGAUUUGGAAAGAUACCUUUGUCAUCUAUUGGAUUCUGAGCAUGUUUUACCAUGUAACCAGUCUUUCACAGUAUUUCUUUUAGCUAAUUUUAGUUCAGCAACUUCUCUUGAUAGUGGUGAUUAUGUGUUUGUCAAGAGGCACAUUAUUUCUUUUCCUGAGGGUUUUCAAUGGGUUUAUUUGUUGUACCUGAAAUCCGGCUAGAAGUGAACAAAUCUCAUCACUGUCACAAAGCUGUCAAUCUUUCAAAGGUUUAUUGGAGCUGUAUGGGUCCUGCAUCCAUAUUGAUGCAAUGAUUAGAAUUUUGCAAGAUGACAAUGUAAUUUCAAAGACAUCAAUCGAAAAAGAUCAUAGCUACCAAGCAUUCUCUGAUAAUGAAGUGUUCACCAAAAUUCCAUUUGAUAAAAAUAAAUAUAUCUUUAAAAGUAUCAAAGAAGAAUAUGCAGUGAUGUCUGCAAGGGAUGGGCGCCUCUUUUGUCACACCUGCAGUUUUCAUCGCCACUGCCAACAUGUCAAAGACAUUAACAUACUUAUGAAUUCAGAACAAGAUUUGCCCGAAGCUUUGUUUGAAUUAAUGGAGUCUCUGCUUGUAAGUUCGUCAUUUGAUGAGGUCAAGCUGCAGCCCAUUUCAAAACAAAAGAUUGAUUUUGAUAUACCCAUUCUUUUACAGGAAAGAUAUUCCAGUCUAGUCAACACAUACUGCAGGACGGAAAAUUGAGUUUUGUUGUUCCCAGAGAAAAUGGAUCAGGUGUGCGAGUGUGGCUCCCAGUUUAAUGUUCAGUCCAUCCCUAGCGAUGCACCUCUAUACCUGUUUUGCAAAACCAACAUGUUUCUUGUACAAAUGCACACAUUUCUUUGCACCAGACAAGACUGUGAUAGUAGGAUAGAAUUUGAUGGAGCGGAACACUUCCUCAUCAACACGGGCUCAUACCUUGUACAUCAUGCCUUGUUAAGAGACUACAUGUUUCAUUUACUACAUUCAGGAACAUCCAUGUUUAACUAUUUCAAAGUGUGGCGCCAGAUGCAGAUCGAUCAUGGAAAUACAGUGUUUGAUCAACAAAUGAGUUACCGGAAGUUUCGGUGGGCAUGGCACACCUAUAUCAAUCUCCUGGACCUACCACCAGACAAAGGAUUGCUCUGCCCCAUUUGCAAAAAUGAAUUGAGUGAAGUUGUAAUGGAUGGAACCUCCUUGGGAUACCAUCAGCGUUACACGCGUGGACAGGACUCAUCAAUCUCUGAAUGUAGUCUGCCAACAGACUGUGGAAGAUAAGUAACUUAACUGAACACAUGUUUAUAUAAACUAUUCAAUUCCUGUCUAGGUUUGGAUUUGUCCGUUAGAUAAAAGCCGUUUAGUCGUUUUGGUUUUUUUUGUUUUUUUUUUGUUUGUUUUUUUAACGAUAGUAUACCCUUGGGGAAUUUUCUACUAUCCAUCAUUUACUAUAUUUAAAUUUGUUUUAUUUAUUUUCUGUUUUACUAGACACAUUGAUUGCAUUUUAAUAAAGAACAAACAACUAAGGAACCUGCUGGGAAAGUAUUCACGAGAAUGUCUAAGCCAAGAAGAAUUCUCUUUGUUAAA